RNAcentral lists this ribosomal RNA (660 nucleotides) under Rhodococcus sp. SBUG 1968. Its description in RNAcentral is "bacterial SSU rRNA". It matches the Rfam family "Bacterial small subunit ribosomal RNA", at positions 48 to 724 of the family's 1533-position model. The record is from RNAcentral. Lineage: Bacteria; Bacillati; Actinomycetota; Actinomycetes; Mycobacteriales; Nocardiaceae.
UUAACACAUGCAAGUCGAGCGGUAAGGCCUUUCGGGGGUACACGAGCGGCGAACGGGUGAGUAACACGUGGGUGAUCUGCCCUGCACUUCGGGAUAAGCCUGGGAAACUGGGUCUAAUACCGGAUAUGACUUCAGGUUGCAUGACUUGGGGUGGAAAGAUUUAUCGGUGCAGGAUGGGCCCGCGGCCUAUCAGCUUGUUGGUGGGGUAAUGGCCUACCAAGGCGACGACGGGUAGCCGACCUGAGAGGGUGACCGGCCACACUGGGACUGAGACACGGCCCAGACUCCUACGGGAGGCAGCAGUGGGGAAUAUUGCACAAUGGGCGAAAGCCUGAUGCAGCGACGCCGCGUGAGGGAUGACGGCCUUCGGGUUGUAAACCUCUUUCAGCAGGGACGAAGCGCAAGUGACGGUACCUGCAGAAGAAGCACCGGCUAACUACGUGCCAGCAGCCGCGGUAAUACGUAGGGUGCAAGCGUUGUCCGGAAUUACUGGGCGUAAAGAGUUCGUAGGCGGUUUGUCGCGUCGUUUGUGAAAACCAGCAGCUCAACUGCUGGCUUGCAGGCGAUACGGGCAGACUUGAGUACUGCAGGGGAGACUGGAAUUCCUGGUGUAGCGGUGAAAUGCGCAGAUAUCAGGAGGAACACCGGUGGCGAAGGCGG